Molecule: unclassified non-coding RNA, 396 nt
Filed under: soil metagenome
Description: partial contains 5.8S ribosomal RNA, internal transcribed spacer 2, and large subunit ribosomal RNA
Rfam family: 5.8S ribosomal RNA (bases 2-121)
Source: RNAcentral
GGAUGAAGAACGUAGUGAAAUGCGAUACUUGGUGUGAAUUGCAGAAUCCCGUGAACCAUCGAGUCUUUGAACGCAAGUUGCGCCCGAAGCUUCGGCCGAGGGCACGUCUGCCUGGGCGUCACGCAUAGCGUCUCCCCCGCACCUACCGCGCGAUGGGGAAGGAGGAUGGCCUCCCGUGCCUCACCGGGCGCGGUUCGCCUAAAGACGGAGCCCACGGCAUCGAGCCGCCGCGGCGAUUGGUGGAUUGAACGGCCCCGAGCCACGUCAAUUUGUAACGUCGCGUGCGAGCGAGGUGCCCGAGGGAGCUCGCUGGACCCCGAGCGCGAGCUCAUACCCUUGCGACCCCAGGUCAGGCGGGGCUACCCGCUGAGUUUAAGCAUAUCAAUAAGCGGAAGA